This 450-nucleotide ribosomal RNA is filed under the name uncultured bacterium. RNAcentral describes it as "partial 16S ribosomal RNA". It matches the Rfam family "Bacterial small subunit ribosomal RNA", at positions 328 to 794 of the family's 1533-position model. The record is from RNAcentral.
UCUCCAGACUCCUACGGGAGGCAGCAGUGGGGAAUAUUGCACAAUGGGGGAAACCCUGAUGCAGCGACGCCGCGUGAGCGAAGAAGUAUUUCGGUAUGUAAAGCUCUAUCAGCAGGGAAGAAAUUGACGGUACCUGAGUAAGAAGCUCCGGCUAAAUACGUGCCAGCAGCCGCGGUAAUACGUAUGGAGCAAGCGUUAUCCGGAUUUACUGGGUGUAAAGGGAGCGUAGGCGGCCUGCCAAGUCUGAUGUGAAACCCCGGGGCUCAACCCCGGGCAUGCAUUGGAAACUGGCGGGCUGGAGUGCCGGAGAGGUAAGCGGAAUUCCUAGUGUAGCGGUGAAAUGCGUAGAUAUUAGGAGGAACACCAGUGGCGAAGGCGGCUUACUGGACGGCGACUGACGCUGAGGCUCGAAAGCGUGGGGAGCAAACAGGAUUAGAUACCCGUGUACGU